Molecule: ribosomal RNA, 25 nt
Filed under: Sphaerulina musiva
Lineage: Eukaryota; Fungi; Ascomycota; Dothideomycetes; Mycosphaerellales; Mycosphaerellaceae
Description: partial 28S ribosomal RNA
Source: RNAcentral
CGGUUGACCUCGGAUCAGGUAGGGA